Molecule: transfer RNA, 70 nt
Filed under: Ateuchotermes sp. TB-2014
Lineage: Eukaryota; Metazoa; Arthropoda; Insecta; Blattodea; Termitidae
Also listed under: 1 other name
Description: tRNA-Gln
Source: RNAcentral
UAUAUCUUGGUGUAUGAUGCACGAUAGCUUUUGAUGCUUGGGGGUGACAGUUUAAUUCUGUUAGAUGUAA